CCCCACGUCCGGCCACCCGCCCGGAAGUGGCCCCGCCCCAGGAGUGCGGCAUGGCGGGGGCGGAGCCCGCGCACCUGUUGGCCCCACCUGCCGCACCUGCGCCCCACCUGCGCCCCCCCCACCUGCGCUGCACCUGCGCCACCUACCCGCCUCAGCACGGGUGAACCAUGGCCCGAGAGCAGGAAAGGAUGGUACAAGAUCAGCAGGAAGCAGGAUGGAGAGGAGACCCCUAGCCUGUCUGUAGAGGAAGGAGCAGGGAAGCGGGAGAGAUCAAGGCAGAGAAAGAGAAAAAGAGACGCCAAGGACCACCAGGAAAGGGACUGAGUGACAUCGAGGAACUCACCGUGAACGACCUUCCUGCCAGAUUGGAGGACUUGACGACCUCGGUGACACUGACGUGCAGACACGUGCAGUCCGGAGCAGAAGCAGCAUUUGGUGAGGUAAUCCCGCCCUGCGGCCUCCACUUCUGGGUUCCAUGUUGGUCCUAACCACGCUUCUGUUUUCUUCCUCUCCCAUCUCCUUCCCUGGAGAAUCAACCAAGUUUCUCAACCCGUGGUGAUCACCUCUCCCACAGGGCUACAUAAUGAGAAAACAGUAUCAUUAUGCAGCCCUGGUACUUAGCCCUGACUGGCCUGGAACUCACAGCUCCGCCUGCCUCUGCUUCCUGAGCGCCGGGAUUAAAG
Non-coding RNA from Peromyscus maniculatus bairdii (prairie deer mouse), 683 nucleotides. NCBI's taxonomy places the organism in Eukaryota, Metazoa, Chordata, Mammalia, Rodentia, Cricetidae. The record is from RefSeq and is a predicted model, not a curated record.